GGCGAACGGGUGAGUAAUGCAUCGGAACGUGCCCAGUCGUGGGGGAUAACUGCUCGAAAGAGCAGCUAAUACCGCAUACGACCUGAGGGUGAAAGCGGGGGACCGUAAGGCCUCGCGCGAUUGGAGCGGCCGAUGUCAGAUUAGCUAGUUGGUGGGGUAAAGGCCUACCAAGGCAACGAUCUGUAGUUGGUCUGAGAGGACGACCAGCCACACUGGGACUGAGACACGGCCCAGACUCCUACGGGAGGCAGCAGUGGGGAAUUUUGGACAAUGGGCGCAAGCCUGAUCCAGCAAUGCCGCGUGCAGGAAGAAGGCCUUCGGGUUGUAAACUGCUUUUGUCAGGGAAGAAAUCUUCUGGGCUAAUACCCCGGGAGGAUGACGGUACCUGAAGAAUAAGCACCGGCUAACUACGUGCCAGCAGCCGCGGUAAUACGUAGGGUGCAAGCGUUAAUCGGAAUUACUGGGCGUAAAGCGUGCGCAGGCGGUUAUGCAAGACAGA
This 499-nucleotide ribosomal RNA is filed under the name uncultured bacterium. Its description in RNAcentral is "bacterial SSU rRNA". It matches the Rfam family "Bacterial small subunit ribosomal RNA", at positions 97 to 592 of the family's 1533-position model. The record is from RNAcentral.